Arachis ipaensis is the source of this 2238-nucleotide non-coding RNA. The record is from RefSeq and is a predicted model, not a curated record. Lineage: Eukaryota; Viridiplantae; Streptophyta; Magnoliopsida; Fabales; Fabaceae.
AACCCCUCGAAAAAAGUGAAACCAUUUUUAUUAUGUUCAUUAUUACAAUACCUACUCCAUUAGUAUAAUAACAAAACUGACUCUUCUAAUUCUAGCAAAUAAUACCAACCACCAUUUUGUGCAUUGAAUAAGAUUAAGUUCAUAUGCAAAUAAAGCUUCACCCACACUUUUACUAUGUAGCAACAUCAUUCAACUGGCACUUAGCAGGUUCACCAACUGUAUAAGGUGAAGAAAAAAGCGACUCAAGUAUAUAAUUCAAAAUUACAAUGAACAAAAAAAACUACUUCUACUGAUGGCCUUAAGUUAUACAAAGUAUUCCAUUAAGCAGUAGCUCUUUAAAGGGAGGUGAUUCACCGUGGCAAGAAAGCAUUGUUCCAAAGAUUGACAGCUGAUUGAUGGUGAGGUCCUCUGAUUCUGCACACCUUGGAAUCUUUGAUUAGAUUCCUCUAUGGGUAGCCCCAAAUUCAUCUCAACCGAAGCUGUUCCAACUCAAAAGAAUGCAGAUCUGUGAAUAAAAAGGUUCAGUGAUUUUUACGGACCUUCAAAGGUAUUAGUAUCUAAAAGGACUUAAAGGUUUUGGUGAAGAUUCAUAUUAGCUCCUAUUCAGGAGAACUUGUCGUCACAUACCCAGGAUUACCUAAAAAAAUGCUUAAUCUCUGAUUGCUCACAUAAUAUUGAUAAGAUUGGUAAGCAAAUUGACCUACUAUAUUAUGUUAGCACUCAUUACCUAGAUGAUAAAGUUAAACCUCACCGCCAAAAAGUGUGAUCUGUUGGGUAAUAACCUUAAUAAGUUAAGUAAACAUGUAUAUGUAUAUUUUAACCUCUAGCCCACUCAAAGUCAAAUGUAAUUUCAAGUACCAUUUAUGGACUAUUAUUGAUAUAUGUUACGCUGGACACCUGUUGCUCUUUAACAGACAGGCUAUGCUACUUAAAAAUUUGUGUUUACACGUAAUAGUGUAUAAGUGCUGACAAAGCAACCUUAAAUCAUAUUUUUAAAAUACCAUUAAAUAAUCCUUUGAUGAUAAUGAUGUAUGUAGUCUUUAUCUAAGGGACAUUAACCUAUGUCACUUUAAAGAAUACACUUUGAUCAACCACUAUUUGCUAAAACCAUCAAGUCUUACUCCAUUAGGAAAUAAUCUUUAUCAUAUUUGCCCCAAAGCAAUCUCUACUUGAUAUACAUUAUUGACCAUUAGAUGUUAUAGUACACAUUGUUUGAACUUUUUUAAACCUAAUACAAUCUCCUAAUUUAUUUACCCAUCUUAGUUGGGGCUUUGAACAUAAAGAAAUUCGUCAAAUCACUUUAUUUCAACCAACUAUUAAAACAUUAAACUUAUAUGAUAAGAUUCUAUAAUAGACCGAGAAAGUGUCACUUUUAUAUACUCUUUGUGAACCAUGGCCUUUUGUAUCCCUUUUUUUAUAUAUAUUUACACAAAUAUCAACCUGCUCCACAAUGAAAAUUAAUCAAUUCAUUCAUACUUUCUUUUGAGAGAUCCUUGGCAUGUAUAGCAGUUAACCUUUUUUGUGAUUAUUCAGCUAAGACCGUAUAUUAUUCUUGCUGAUUAUUUCAAAAAUCUAUUGAUAAUACCUGUCACUUAGAAUAGACCUAUUUGUGGCUACAUCUAUCAAUCUUAUCAUCACUUUAGUAGGAUAUAUAUAUAUAUAUAUAUAGAGAGAGAGAGAGAGGGAGAGAGAGAGAUGUUAACAUGAAGAAUCAAUUUCUUGGCUAUGUGGCUCAAUUAGGCCAAAUAAUAGAGCCAUCACACGUUCCUAAAGAUCUUCACUCUUUGGUUACUGAGAUUAGUCACUUCUAUGAAGAUUUUCUCAAUGAUUUUCCACCUGUUCAAGAAGUGUUAGACAAUCCUCAAAGAUUGAUUGACUCAAAGAAUGGACUUCAAGAGAAAUUAAAAGUAGCAAAGGCCAAACAGGACACUUUUCUACUUCAAUUACUAAAGGAAAAGAAAGGGUCAGUGAGAUGUCAAAAGAAAUCAAUGAAUUUGAGGUGCAACUAAAAGCCUUGCAUGAGAAGAGGAAUAGGCUAAAAUUCACCGUCGAACGUUAUGAGGUUGAAUCUAUAAACAUCAAUAGGAAACUGGAAACUUUGGUAAAAGAGAAUGAAGAGGUUGCUUUAGUAAAUGACAAUUAACCAUUUUUGGUCAUAGUUCCUGUUGAUUUGUCAUUUUGAUGUAUGAAAUUUAAGCAUUUCGAGCUAUGAUUCAACAUAUACUAUAUAUUUUGCUU